Molecule: ribosomal RNA, 133 nt
Filed under: uncultured bacterium
Lineage: Bacteria
Description: partial 16S ribosomal RNA
Source: RNAcentral
CACGUAGUUAGCCGUGACUUAUUCCUGGGGUACCGUCCGUUCUCUUCCCCCAGAAAAGGAGUUUACGACCGAAGCCUUCAUCCUCCACGCGGCGUUGCUGCAUCAGGGUUGCCCCCAUUGUGCAAUAUUCCUC